Molecule: ribosomal RNA, 478 nt
Filed under: uncultured organism
Description: partial 16S ribosomal RNA
Rfam family: Bacterial small subunit ribosomal RNA
Source: RNAcentral
ACACUCCUAGCGGGAGGCAGCAGUGGGGAAUAUUGCACAAUGGGCGCAAGCCUGAUGCAGCCAUGCCGCGUGUAUGAAGAAGGCCUUCGGGUUGUAAAGUACUUUCAGCGGGGAGGAAGGCAAUACGGUUAAUAACCGUGUUGAUUGACGUUACCCGCAGAAGAAGCACCGGCUAACUCCGUGCCAGCAGCCGCGGUAAUACGGAGGGUGCAAGCGUUAAUCGGAAUUACUGGGCGUAAAGCGCACGCAGGCGGUCUGUCAAGUCGGAUGUGAAAUCCCCGGGCUCAACCUGGGAACUGCAUUCGAAACUGGCAGGCUUGAGUCUUGUAGAGGGGGGUAGAAUUCCAGGUGUAGCGGUGAAAUGCGUAGAGAUCUGGAGGAAUACCGGUGGCGAAGGCGGCCCCCUGGACAAAGACUGACGCUCAGGUGCGAAAGCGUGGGGAGCAAACAGGAUUAGAUACCCCGGUAGUCCCAUGAU